RNAcentral lists this transfer RNA (84 nucleotides) under Rosellinia necatrix. It matches the Rfam family "tRNA". Rfam says of the family: Transfer RNA (tRNA) molecules are approximately 80 nucleotides in length. Their secondary structure includes four short double-helical elements and three loops (D, anti-codon, and T loops). Further hydrogen bonds mediate the characteristic L-shaped molecular structure. tRNAs have two regions of fundamental functional importance: the anti-codon, which is responsible for specific mRNA codon recognition, and the 3' end, to which the tRNAs corresponding amino acid is attached (by aminoacyl-tRNA synthetases). tRNAs cope with the degeneracy of the genetic code in two manners: having more than one tRNA (with a specific anti-codon) for a particular amino acid; and 'wobble' base-pairing, i.e. permitting non-standard base-pairing at the 3rd anti-codon position. Lineage: Eukaryota; Fungi; Ascomycota; Sordariomycetes; Xylariales; Xylariaceae. The record is from Rfam by way of RNAcentral.
GCCAGCUUAGCUAAGUGGCAUAGUGUGCCACCAUAUUGCACACAUGUUAUGACAAGAUCGGCGGUUCGAUUCCGCUAGUGGGCG